Molecule: transfer RNA, 64 nt
Filed under: Histeroidea sp. 5 KM-2017
Lineage: Eukaryota; Metazoa; Arthropoda; Insecta; Coleoptera
Description: tRNA-Gly
Source: RNAcentral
ACUUAUAUAGUAUAGAAAUUAUUUUUAACUUCCAAUUAAAAGACCUAAAAUUUUAGUAUAAGUA